Molecule: transfer RNA, 66 nt
Filed under: Thalassina squamifera
Lineage: Eukaryota; Metazoa; Arthropoda; Malacostraca; Decapoda; Thalassinidae
Description: tRNA-Asn
Source: RNAcentral
UUGAUAGAAGCCAAAAAGAGGCUUGUCACUGUUAAUGAUAACAAUGAAAUUCUAUUUCCUAUCAAA